RNAcentral lists this ribosomal RNA (910 nucleotides) under Citricoccus zhacaiensis. RNAcentral describes it as "bacterial SSU rRNA". It matches the Rfam family "Bacterial small subunit ribosomal RNA", at positions 555 to 1461 of the family's 1533-position model. Lineage: Bacteria; Bacillati; Actinomycetota; Actinomycetes; Micrococcales; Micrococcaceae. The record is from RNAcentral.
UGGGCGUAAAGAGCUCGUAGGCGGUUUGUCACGUCUGCCGUGAAAGUCCGGGGCUUAACCCCGGAUCUGCGGUGGGUACGGGCAGACUGGAGUGCAGUAGGGGAGACUGGAAUUCCUGGUGUAGCGGUGAAAUGCGCAGAUAUCAGGAGGAACACCGAUGGCGAAGGCAGGUCUCUGGGCUGUUACUGACGCUGAGGAGCGAAAGCAUGGGGAGCGAACAGGAUUAGAUACCCUGGUAGUCCAUGCCGUAAACGUUGGGCACUAGGUGUGGGGGCCAUUCCACGGUUUCCGCGCCGCAGCUAACGCAUUAAGUGCCCCGCCUGGGGAGUACGGCCGCAAGGCUAAAACUCAAAGGAAUUGACGGGGGCCCGCACAAGCGGCGGAGCAUGCGGAUUAAUUCGAUGCAACGCGAAGAACCUUACCAAGGCUUGACAUGUUCUCGACCGCCACAGAGAUGUGGUUUCCCCUUUGGGGCGGGUUCACAGGUGGUGCAUGGUUGUCGUCAGCUCGUGUCGUGAGAUGUUGGGUUAAGUCCCGCAACGAGCGCAACCCUCGUUCCAUGUUGCCAGCGGGUUAUGCCGGGGACUCAUGGGAGACUGCCGGGGUCAACUCGGAGGAAGGUGGGGACGACGUCAAAUCAUCAUGCCCCUUAUGUCUUGGGCUUCACGCAUGCUACAAUGGCCGGUACAAUGGGUUGCGAUACUGUGAGGUGGAGCCAAUCCCAAAAAGCCGGUCUCAGUUCGGAUUGGGGUCUGCAACUCGACCCCAUGAAGUCGGAGUCGCUAGUAAUCGCAGAUCAGCAACGCUGCGGUGAAUACGUUCCCGGGCCUUGUACACACCGCCCGUCAAGUCACGAAAGUCGGUAACACCCGAAGCCGGUGGCCCAACCCUUGUGGGGGAGCCGUCGAAG